Molecule: ribosomal RNA, 506 nt
Filed under: uncultured bacterium
Lineage: Bacteria
Description: bacterial SSU rRNA
Rfam family: Bacterial small subunit ribosomal RNA
Source: RNAcentral
AACGAACGCUGGCGGCAUGCCUAACACAUGCAAGUCGAACGCGUGUAGCAAUACACGAGUGGCGGACGGGUGAGUAACGCGUGGGAACCUGCCCAGUGGUAGGGAAUAACUGCGGGAAACUGCAGCUAAUACCCUAUGAGCCCUACGGGGGAAAGAUUUAUCGCCAUUGGAGGGGCCCGCGUCGGAUUAGCUAGUUGGUAGGGUAAUGGCCUACCAAGGCGACGAUCCGUAGCUGGUCUGAGAGGAUGAUCAGCCACACUGGGACUGAGAUACGGCCCAGACUCCUACGGGAGGCAGCAGUGGGGAAUAUUGGACAAUGGGGGAAACCCUGAUCCAGCAAUGCCGCGUGAGUGAAGAAGGCCUUAGGGUUGUAAAGCUCUUUCGGCGGGGAAGAUGGUGACGGUACCCGCAGAAGAAGCCCCGGCUAACUUCGUGCCAGCAGCCGCGGUAAUACGAAGGGGGCUAGCGUUGCUCGGAAUCACUGGGCGUAAAGGGCGCGUAGGCGG